CUGCGAAUGGCUCAUUAAAUCAGUUAUCGUUUAUUUGAUAGUGCCUUUCCUACUUGGAUAACCGUGGUAAUUCUAGAGCUAAUACAUGCUAAAAAUCCCGACUUCGGAAGGGAUGCAUUUAUUGGAUACAGAACCAACGCCCUCCGGGGCUUCCUGGUGAAUCACAAUAACUUCGCGGAUCGCACGGCCUUGCGCCGGCGAUGGUUCAUUCAAAUUUCUGCCCUAUCAACUUUCGACGGCUGGGUCUUGGCCAGCCGUGGUGACAACGGGUAACGGAGGGUUAGGGCUUGACCCCGGAGAAGGAGCCUGAGAAACGGCUACUACAUCCAAGGAAGGCAGCAGGCGCGCAAAUUACCCAAUCCCGACUCGGGGAGGUAGUGACAAUAAAUACUGAUCCAGGGCUCUUUUGGGUCUUGGAAUUGGAAUGAGUACAAUUUAAAUCCCUUAACGAGGAACAAUUGGAGGGCAAGUCUGGUGGACACCCAGUCCCGGGGGGGCUCUCGCCCCCCCUCUGCUGGCGCCAGCAAGAGUAGGGGGCCCGGCGCCGGCGCCGGGCCUUCGGACCUGCUAGUCGAGCACUCACUCAUGGGCGGGAGAGUGCCGGCGAGACAACCUGGAUCGGGGAAGGCUAAGGGGCGCCACGCCCUAUGCUAAUCCCGAGCGGAGCGGCCUGGGAGCGAUCCCGGGCCCGCCCGUGUAGAGCGCGGAAAGGUGUCGGCUGCUCUGUGGGACUCCCCUCCCACAGGCGGCUUGAGGGACGUGCCGUACCCCGCGAAAGCGUGUCACUGUCUGGAGCGCCCGCCACGCAAAGGACAGCGAGCCACUGGAAACCCUUCCAGCGGUGGAAGCAUCUCAAAAGACGGCCAGCAGCCGCGGUAAUUCCAGCUCCAAUAGCGUAUAUUAAAGUUGUUGAGGUUAAAAAGCUCGUAGUUGAACCUUGGCCCUGGCUGGCCGGUCCGCCUCACCGCGAGCACUGGUCCGGCCGGGGCUUUCCCUCUGGGGACCCUCAUGCCCUUCACUGGGUGUGCUGGAGAACCAGGACUUUUACUGUGAACAAAUCAGAUCGCUCAAAGAAGGCUCUCGCUCGAAUGCUUCAGCAUGGAAUAAUGAAAUAGGACGCGCGGUUCUAUUUUGUUGGUUUCUAGGACCGCCGUAAUGAUUAAUAGGGACAGUCGGGGGUAUCAGUAUUCAAUUGUCAGAGGUGAAAUUCUUGGAUCAAUUGAAGACUAACUACUGCGAAAGCAUUUACCAAGGAUGUUUUCAUUAAUCAGGAACGAAAGUUAGGGGAUCGAAGACGAUCAGAUACCGUCGUAGUCUUAACCAUAAACUAUGCCGAUUAGGGAUCGGACGAUGUUAUUUUUUGACUCGUUCGGCACCUUACGAUAAAUCAAAAUG
Molecule: ribosomal RNA, 1395 nt
Filed under: Nimesporella riisgaardii
Lineage: Eukaryota; Fungi; Ascomycota; Sordariomycetes; Chaetosphaeriales; Chaetosphaeriaceae
Description: SSU rRNA
Rfam family: Eukaryotic small subunit ribosomal RNA
Source: RNAcentral